This 253-nucleotide ribosomal RNA is filed under the name uncultured bacterium. Its description in RNAcentral is "partial 16S ribosomal RNA". It matches the Rfam family "Bacterial small subunit ribosomal RNA", at positions 524 to 776 of the family's 1533-position model. The record is from RNAcentral.
UACAGAGACUGCAAGCGUUAUUCGGAUUCACUGGGCGUAAAGGGUGCGCAGGCGGCCAAGUGUGUUAGGCGUGAAAGCCCGGGGCUCAACCCCGGAAUUGCACCUAAAACUACAUGGCUAGAGCAUUGGAGAGGGAAGCGGAAUUCACGGUGUAGCAGUGAAAUGCGUAGAUAUCGUGAGGAACACCAGAGGCGAAGGCGGCUUCCUGGACAAUUGCUGACGCUCAGGCACGAAAGCGUGGGGAGCAAACAGG